This 3588-nucleotide unclassified non-coding RNA is filed under the name Dimorphilus gyrociliatus. RNAcentral's name for it is "tIR domain-containing protein". Lineage: Eukaryota; Metazoa; Annelida; Polychaeta; Dinophilidae. The record is from RNAcentral.
GGAAGCACCAUCGACUUCUCCAAAGAAAGUCUGUCUAACUCAAUGUUCCUCUAGCAUGAACGGUAAUUACCCUCUACAUUUAUUUCGUAACUACCAAAACUAUUUAUAUAGUUUUAUAUAUGUUACCCAGGAGAUGAGGACUGUUCAACAACUCGUCCUAGUAGAACUGAAAUAUAUGCAAUUGAACUAACAACAGAAGCAUGCGGAUCAUCAUGUAAACGGAAAUUGGGAGUUAUGAAACUCCCAACCGAUUCCUCAUUAUCAUGUGCCAGAACAAAAAUUGUUGUCCUUAUACGCUAUUUACCAGCCAGUUUUAUAUUUUUAACUAAAGAUGGAUAUCCAAUAACAAAAGAUGACGAGAAUCAAUUUACCUGCUCGGAUAUUUGUGAUGAAAGAAAUUUAAUAAAAAUUCAGAAGAAUUUUGAGAAACCUCGAAUUGGUGUACAAGAUGUAAAAAAUAAUGAUUUCGGUUUUAUAUUUAUUGAUCACACUUGCGGUUUAUCAGCACUUAGAACAGCCAUUCAAACGGAGUUAAAAGUACCAGAAAAUUUUCGCUUUAAAGAUUCCAACAAUUGGCUUGUAAUUAAAGAACACGAAGCUAAAUUGGUGGUUCUAGACGUUCUUCAGGGAGCCGUUGUAAAAAUUACUGAAGUUAAGAAAAGGCCUCUUCCUCCUCCCCCUCCUCCUCCUCCUCCUCCUAUCCAGGCUGCUGGUGAUGACUACAAAGAUAUUCUUAUUUCGUAUGUUAGACAAGAGGCUGCGGAAUUCGCUCUCCUAUUAAAAUCAGCUUUGAUUCGAAAAUUUGUUACAGUCUACCUAGAUGUUCAUGAAAUUAAGCCUGGAAUUGACUGGCAAGAUUCUUUAAACAAUGCAGUUACUCAUUGUCAAUUAUUUGUUCCAUUAAUAACGAAAAAUUACGGUGAAACGCAAUGGACCAAUAGAGAGGUUAAACUAGCCGAUGUACUAAGAAAACCUAUUCUUCCAGUUACGUUUUUAACGCAUUGGCCCCCCCAACCGUUAGCCAUUCAGUUCGCUUCAACUCAGUAUGUUACCUAUCGUCCAGAUUUAAAUAUUAAGGGAACUGCUGAUACUCAAUCCGUCUAUAGCGAAGUUCUUUCGCCUAACUCUCAAGAAAAUGCAAAUACAAUAGAAAAUACUAAAUGGCAUCCAGAACAUGUUGAAUUUGUUGCCGAUGAAAUAGGAAAAUUUCUUCGAGAUUCGAACAAUGACAAUUCGAAGAAACUUAAGACAUCUUUAGCAAGACAACCAUCGAAGUUAAAGAGCUAUCCAAAAACAUCAAAACUUCCCAUUGAUAUAGGUUAUCAAGUAAGGGGAAAUAAAGAAGGAAAUCCUUUAGUUGUAAUAAGUCUUCAUCCUGCUAAAAAUUCUUUUGGACAAAAAAUAGCCAAGUUAGUAGAAGAUGUUUGUGUCGAUGUCUGGCUUUCAACAUCUUGUGAAUCCCUAGCCGAUGAACCAACACUCCCUGAAAAUGUCUCACCAAAAUUACGUAACUCGGAAUUUUUUUCACCAACUCCGGAAGCUAGUUUAAAGCGCAGUUCAAUCUUUCAAGAUAAAGCAAACGAGGCAGGUUGCAUAAUUUUGCUAUUAUCGAAAGAGUUUAUAGCAUCCAAUAUAUCAAAAAGCCAUCUUUACUAUUGUGAGCAUAGAAAACGACUCAUACCAAUAAUAUGCGACGAUUUUGAGAUGCCUGCGUGGACUAAUCGUUUAAUCAAUAGCAGACUAAUUAUUGACGCUAGAACAAAGAAUUUUGAAGAAACUCUCAAGUAUAACAUAAGAAAAGCCCUUCAUACAAGUGCAAGGUUUUGUUGGGCGGAUGAUGUGGAGGAGGAAAAAAUUUCCACCGCUUCCAACUUAAUAAAGAAACUGAUGCCUACAGGAUUUAGCGUGUACGUCACAGGUUCCAAGUUGAUAAACAAUGAAGAGACAAGAAAUAUCUGCAAACUUAUAGGCCAACAUCUGGCAGCUUUGGAGAACGUUCAUAUUGUAACUGGUGGAUUCAAAGGUGUUGGGGAUGUUGUUGCUAGAUCAGCAUUCGAUGAAAGGAACGACGUGGUGGAUGAUGAAAAGCAUAUAUGGCACAUACUUCCCAGAAAAGACGACUACAAAUAUUCAGAUGUGGCCGACCAAAACGAAGAUGGAACAUUUGAAAUGGUGGAAUAUGGCAAUACUGUAUUUUCAGGCGAUUCCGUCAAGGAGAGAGAGAUUAUAACUUCAAGAGUUUUCGAUAUAUGUAUUCUCAUCGGUGGCGGUCCCGAGUUAGCUAAGGAAAUAGACCAUUUCGUUUGGAGUGAGAAAGUAGUGUUACCAAUCAGAAAAACAGGUGGAGCAGCUGAUGGUAAAUACGACAUUUCACCAAAAAUAUUUGAUCUACCUGUAGCAGUAUCAUUGGAGGACUGGUCUGUCUUGUUGGAUGAUCAAGCUUCACCAGAAAGAAUUGGAAAGGCUGUAGCCAAAAUAACAAUGGACUUGAAAAAGCAACAUGCUGUGGAAGCACCAUCUCAAUAUGCAACAACCCCUUUUGAAACUCCCGUUGGCAUGAAGAAGGGAUUUUUAUUUAAACAAAAUACUUUAGAGCAGAGUUAGAUAUAAUAUAUGAUUUUUCUAUCAAAUCCUUGUUUGUUAAGAUAUGUUUGUUUCUUUAAAUUUUUUUUUAGAUAUCUUCAUCAAAAACAACGUUCAUGAUUGAUUGUUUUCUUACUGUGUAAGAGAAUUCACAUUAAAUGGUAAUAUACAGUAUACUAUAUACAGUAUAUAUAUAUAUAUAUAUAUAUAUAUAGUGAGAAAUCGCUUUCGUAGUCUUUAAAGAAAGUUGUGAAGACUAAAUAAGUAUAUAUAUGUGCCUGUAUAUUUACAGAAGACUGCCUUUAUAAAUUUCAACUUGCUAAUAUUUACAAAUGUCGUUGGUUUAUUAGUCUCCAACUGGUUGGUUAGUUCUCUCUAUCAACGUCCUGGGAUAUUGAACGAAUAUCGCUGUAGAUUGACAGUUCUCUCUCUCUAACUCAACUUUUUUUAAAUAUUUAUUGCGAAACUGCUCUUUUCUUAACUUAAUACAUCUUCUUUCAACCAUCCAUUGGAGAAAGACAGUAAAAAUAGGUGUAACAGCUACAAGUAUGAUGAACGAAAAUAGCAUAAGAAGGCAAGAAAAAGCCGUAGAGAGAGCUAAAUCACCUCUGACCCUUGAUUUAGAUAUUGUAGAAUUAGGAUUUCUUUCCAAAAAUUCCCUGAUAUAUUCAUAAGAAUUUUGAUAUUGAUAAAAUGGUAAUGUUCUAUACCACAAUAAAUUAUAGUCUGUGGAAUGUCCAUUAAAUGUAGUUUCAAUCCUUUCUUUGGCUAAUAAAUAACUUUCCUUUGGCUUUAAAUAACGUUCCAUUAUUGACCUACGAACUUUAUUCGAUUUUCCUUCUCUUUGUUGUAAUAAAUCACUCUCAUAAGUAUGGAUUAAUUGGAAAACGAGGAAUAAUAACCUCAUAAUUUAUCAUCAACAAAUGGAGGUAAAUAGUUUGAAGAUCUCUUGAUCUUUUUAUUUUGUUUUUGUUUUUGUUGUAAUUAAACACAUUAAUAUUAAAC